CGUAGGUGACCUGCGGAAGGAUCAUUACCGAGUGCGGGCCCUCUGGGUCCAACCUCCCAUCCGUGUCUAUCUGUACCCUGUUGCUUCGGCGUGGCCACGGCCCGCCGGAGACUAACAUUUGAACGCUGUCUGAAGUUUGCAGUCUGAGUUUUUAGUUAAACAAUCGUUAAAACUUUCAACAACGGAUCUCUUGGUUCCGGCAUCGAUGAAGAACGCAGCGAAAUGCGAUAAUUAAUGUGAAUUGCAGAAUUCAGUGAAUCAUCGAGUCUUUGAACGCACAUUGCGCCCCCUGGUAUUCCGGGGGGCAUGCCUGUCCGAGCGUCAUUGCUGCCCUCAAGCACGGCUUGUGUGUUGGGCUUCCGUCCCUGGCAACGGGGACGGGCCCAAAAGGCAGUGGCGGCACCAUGUCUGGUCCUCGAGCGUAUGGGGCUUUGUCACCCGCUCCCGUAGGUCCAGCUGGCAGCUAGCCUCGCAACCAAUCUUUUUAACCAGGUUGACCUCGGAUCAGGUAGGGAUACCCGCUGAACUUAAGCAUAUCAAU
RNAcentral lists this ribosomal RNA (541 nucleotides) under Eurotium sp. N14. Its description in RNAcentral is "eukaryotic LSU rRNA". The stretch from base 171 to 324 matches the Rfam family "5.8S ribosomal RNA". Lineage: Eukaryota; Fungi; Ascomycota; Eurotiomycetes; Eurotiales; Aspergillaceae. The record is from RNAcentral.